Molecule: ribosomal RNA, 466 nt
Filed under: uncultured bacterium
Lineage: Bacteria
Description: bacterial SSU rRNA
Rfam family: Bacterial small subunit ribosomal RNA
Source: RNAcentral
GACGAACGCUGGCGGCGUGCCUAACGCAUGCAAGUCGAACGGAGAUACGAUUUCGGUUGUAUCUUAGUGGCGAACGGGUGAGUAACGCGUGAGCAACCUGACCUUCAGAGGGGGAUAACACUUGGAAACAGGUGCUAAUACCGCAUAAGACCACGACCCGACAUCGGGAUGAGGUCAAAGGAGCAAUCCGCUGAGGGAGGGGCUCGCGUCCCAUUAGAUAGAUGGCGGGGUAACGGCCCACCAUGUCGACGAUGGGUAGCCGAGCUGAGAGGCUGAUCGGCCACACUGGAACUGAGACACGGUCCAGACUCCUACGGGAGGCAGCAGUGGGGAAUAUUGGGCAAUGGGCGCAAGCCUGACCCAGCAACGCCGCGUGAGGGAAGAAGGCCUUCGGGUUGUAAACCUACUGUCCUUGGUGACGAAACAAAUGACGGUAGCCAAGGAGGAAGCCCCGGCUAACACGUAG